Long non-coding RNA from Styela clava, 987 nucleotides. RefSeq lists it as uncharacterized. The record is from RefSeq and is a predicted model, not a curated record. NCBI's taxonomy places the organism in Eukaryota, Metazoa, Chordata, Ascidiacea, Stolidobranchia, Styelidae.
UUGAAAUCCGCAGCACUCUGAGGCAAAUCUAACUUCGAAGCGACAGGAACUGGAAUCUUGCGUAGUUAGUUAAUGUAUUAUCAAGAUGGCAAGUGAUCCAUAGGACAAAAUACCUGUACUGUAUAAUGUUGGCUAAUAAAAUUCAAUAAUAGCGGUAACUGAUGGAAGUGAAUACAACGACAAUAACGUUUAGGCGACUAAAAGUUAUUUCGAAUCAUUCCUAAAUCAAGGCCUCAUCUGAAAUAUUCACUUAGUCCAGAUUCAAUCGUAAGAUUGAGUUUGGUGAAGACUCGUGUCAACUAGGAUUUCUGACGUGGACUAUUUUAUCAAGAUUGGAUAAGACAGCAUUUCACAUUUAUUCAUCGAGACAACAAACUUACUUAUGCGUUCCAAUAUAUAUAUAAGAAAGAGCCCGUGUAUACUCGGCUAACCAACAAGCCGAAUAAUAAUCCUGGAAUAAAUAAAAUCGAACAGUCAAUAACUGAAUGUGGCUGUACGAUCAAAUUGGAAAGAUCCAAAUACAAGUUAUACAAUUGAGAUCCAAAUCACAAAUAGAACGAAGAAAACAUCAAUAAGUUAUAACACUAUUUUCUCAACUUUCGUCUGAGAGCUGAAGGGUCGGUACACAGAAGUACUGCAUGAAGACAAAAGGCUUGUCGCGAUAAAUCACCAUUAGGGGAAAAAAGCGAGAAUAACCAAGUUCCAUGGAAUUAAAAAUGAUAAUAACACAAAGGGGUAACAUUAAACUUCAAAGUAAACAUUUCACAUUCGCUACACCUAGAAGGUAUUCUCGAUCAUAGGUCUGAUAAAUCCAGAGCUUAUAUCCUUUUUAUACAUAAUCGUAUUCAUAAAUAAUGUGAAUCACAAUUUUUUACUCCUAAAUGAAGAAAUCAAACUCAUAUGCUUUUAUUCUCUCUAUCGCAAAUAUGAACAUAAAACAAAAGAUAUUUUUUCCUUUAAUUCUAAUUUGAGAAUUCGAUUUUUUUU